RNAcentral lists this ribosomal RNA (301 nucleotides) under uncultured bacterium. RNAcentral describes it as "partial 16S ribosomal RNA". It matches the Rfam family "Bacterial small subunit ribosomal RNA", at positions 509 to 808 of the family's 1533-position model. The record is from RNAcentral.
CAGUAGCCGCGGUAAUACGUAGGUGGUAAGCGUUGUCCGGAAUUAUUGGGCGUAAAGGGCUCGCAGGCGGUUUCUUAAGUCUGAUGUGAAAGCCCCCGGCUCAACCGGGGAGGGUCAUUGGAAACUGGGAAACUUGAGUGCAGAAGAGGAGAGUGGAAUUCCACGUGUUGCGGUGAAAUGCGUAGAGAUGUGGAGGAACACCAGUGGCGAAGGCGACUCUCUGGUCUGUAACUGACGCUGAGGAGCGAAAGCGUGGGGAGCGAACAGGAUUAGAUACCCCUGUAGUCCCGUCUCUUAUACA